RNAcentral lists this ribosomal RNA (388 nucleotides) under Hippocrepis comosa. RNAcentral describes it as "eukaryotic LSU rRNA". The stretch from base 270 to 388 matches the Rfam family "Eukaryotic large subunit ribosomal RNA", at positions 1 to 119 of the family's 3401-position model. Lineage: Eukaryota; Viridiplantae; Streptophyta; Magnoliopsida; Fabales; Fabaceae. The record is from RNAcentral.
AGUUGCGCCCGAAGCCAUUAGGUUGAGGGCACGUCUGCCUGGGUGUCACACAUCGUUGCCCCAAACACCAAAUCCCUUGUGGAAGAGCUGUUGUGUGGGGCGAAUGCUGACUUCCCGUGAUUUUUUGCAUUCACGGUUGGUUGAAAAUUGAGUCCAUGGUAGAGUCUACCAUGAUGGAUGGUGGUUGAGUUAUGCUCGAGACCAAUCAUGGUGAACUUUAUCAAACUUGGGCUCUGGUAACCCAUAUGUGUUUAUAAACGCUCACAAUGAGACCUCAGGUCAGGCGGGGCUACCCGCUGAGUUUAAGCAUAUCAAUAAGCGGAGGAAAAGAAACUAACAAGGAUUCCCUUAGUAACGGCGAGCGAACCGGGAAGAGCCCACCAUGAGA